AACGAACGCUGGCGGCAGGCCUAACACAUGCAAGUCGAGCGCCCUUUCGGGGGAGCGGCGGACGGGUGAGUAACGCGUGGGAAUAUGCCCUUCUCUACGGAAUAGCCUCGGGAAACUGAGAGUAAUACCGUAUACGCCCUGUGGGGGAAAGAUUUAUCGGGGAAGGAUUAGCCCGCGUUGGAUUAGGUAGUUGGUGGGGUAAUGGCCUACCAAGCCGACGAUCCAUAGCUGGUUUGAGAGGAUGAUCAGCCACACUGGGACUGAGACACGGCCCAGACUCCUACGGGAGGCAGCAGUGGGGAAUCUUAGACAAUGGGGGCAACCCUGAUCUAGCCAUGCCGCGUGAGUGAUGAAGGCCUUAGGGUUGUAAAGCUCCUUCAGCUGGGAAGAUAAUGACGGUACCAGCAGAAGAAGCCCCGGCUAACUCCGUG
This 431-nucleotide ribosomal RNA is filed under the name uncultured bacterium. RNAcentral describes it as "partial 16S ribosomal RNA". It matches the Rfam family "Bacterial small subunit ribosomal RNA", at positions 29 to 507 of the family's 1533-position model. The record is from RNAcentral.